RNAcentral lists this long non-coding RNA (254 nucleotides) under Mustela putorius furo (domestic ferret). RNAcentral describes it as "lncRNA (ENSMPUG00000026674.1)". Lineage: Eukaryota; Metazoa; Chordata; Mammalia; Carnivora; Mustelidae. The record is from RNAcentral.
CUAGGACUGAACGUUCAUUUCUGGAAAGGAACAUGGAUUUUUGGUCUUUUGGCUAAAAAGAGUAGCGGAUGUUAAUUCAGAACCUAAAAAGUAUUUAAUGAACACAAUUGAGAAGAUACCAAAUGUUUGACAUCGAUAGAUAGUAAGUAAGCAUAGCAAGGGUAAUUUUGCAAACUGAGUAAUUCAUUUUCCGAAAUUGCUGUUUCUUCGUCAUUGGUGGCCCUGCCCAAAAAGUCUUGAGCACAAAUUGACUG